RNAcentral lists this transfer RNA (86 nucleotides) under Candidatus Woesearchaeota archaeon. RNAcentral's name for it is "tRNA-Leu". It matches the Rfam family "tRNA". Rfam says of the family: Transfer RNA (tRNA) molecules are approximately 80 nucleotides in length. The record is from RNAcentral. Lineage: Archaea; Nanobdellati; Candidatus Woesearchaeota.
GCGGGGGUGGCAGAGCCUGGUCAAAUGCGCAGGCUUCAGGAGCCUGUCCCUUAGUGGGUACGAGGGUUCGAAUCCCUUCCCCCGCA